This 216-nucleotide ribosomal RNA is filed under the name uncultured bacterium. RNAcentral's name for it is "partial 16S ribosomal RNA". It matches the Rfam family "Bacterial small subunit ribosomal RNA", at positions 1289 to 1500 of the family's 1533-position model. The record is from RNAcentral.
CAGUUCGGAUUGUAGUCUGCAACUCGACUACAUGAAGCUGGAAUCGCUAGUAAUCGCGGAUCAGCACGCCGCGGUGAAUACGUUCCCGGGCCUUGUACACACCGCCCGUCACACCAUGGAAGUCUGCAAUGCCCGAAGCCGGUGGCCUAACCACUUAUGUGGAAGGAGCCGUCUAAGGCAGGGCAGAUGACUGGGGUGAAGUCGUAACAAGGUAGC